ACAGUACUCCCUCAGUCCGGAAUUACUUGUCGAAGAAAUGGAUGUAUCUAGAUGUAUUUUAGUUCUAGAUACAUUCAUUUUUCUCCAUUUUGCGACAAGUAAUUCAGGAUGGAGGGAGUAUAAA
Triticum aestivum (bread wheat) is the source of this 124-nucleotide non-coding RNA. The record is from Rfam. Lineage: Eukaryota; Viridiplantae; Streptophyta; Magnoliopsida; Poales; Poaceae.